UACAGAGGGUGCAAGCGUUGUUCGGAAUCAUUGGGCGUGAAGGGCGCGUAGGCGGUUCGGUAAGUCAGGUGUGAAAGCCCAGGGCUCAACCUUGGAAGUGCAUUUGAAACUGCUGAACUAGAAUCUCGGAGAGGGUGGUGGAAUUCCCAGUGUAGAGGUGAAAUUCGUAGAUAUUGGGAGGAACACCGGUGGCGAAGGCGACCACCUGGACGAAGAUUGACGCUGAGGCGCGAAAGCGUGGGGAGCAAACAGG
This 253-nucleotide ribosomal RNA is filed under the name uncultured prokaryote. Its description in RNAcentral is "partial 16S ribosomal RNA". It matches the Rfam family "Bacterial small subunit ribosomal RNA", at positions 524 to 776 of the family's 1533-position model. The record is from RNAcentral.